RNAcentral lists this ribosomal RNA (3013 nucleotides) under Salmonella enterica subsp. enterica. RNAcentral describes it as "23S ribosomal RNA". It matches the Rfam family "Bacterial large subunit ribosomal RNA". The record is from RNAcentral. Lineage: Bacteria; Pseudomonadati; Pseudomonadota; Gammaproteobacteria; Enterobacterales; Enterobacteriaceae.
GGGUUGUGAGGUUAAGCGACUAAGCGUACACGGUGGAUGCCCUGGCAGUCAGAGGCGAUGAAGGACGUGCUAAUCUGCGAUAAGCGCCGGUAAGGUGAUAUGAACCGUUAUAACCGGCGAUUUCCGAAUGGGGAAACCCAGUGUGAUUCGUCACACUAUCAUUAACUGAAUCCAUAGGUUAAUGAGGCGAACCGGGGGAACUGAAACAUCUAAGUACCCCGAGGAAAAGAAAUCAACCGAGAUUCCCCCAGUAGCGGCGAGCGAACGGGGAGGAGCCCAGAGCCUGAAUCAGCAUGUGUGUUAGUGGAAGCGUCUGGAAAGGCGCGCGAUACAGGGUGACAGCCCCGUACACAAAAGCGCAUGUGCUGUGAGCUCGAUGAGUAGGGCGGGACACGUGGUAUCCUGUCUGAAUAUGGGGGGACCAUCCUCCAAGGCUAAAUACUCCUGACUGACCGAUAGUGAACCAGUACCGUGAGGGAAAGGCGAAAAGAACCCCGGCGAGGGGAGUGAAAAAGAACCUGAAACCGUGUACGUACAAGCAGUGGGAGCACAGGUUUACCUGUGUGACUGCGUACCUUUUGUAUAAUGGGUCAGCGACUUAUAUUCUGUAGCAAGGUUAACCGUAUAGGGGAGCCGUAGGGAAACCGAGUCUUAACCGGGCGUUAAGUUGCAGGGUAUAGACCCGAAACCCGGUGAUCUAGCCAUGGGCAGGUUGAAGGUUGGGUAACACUAACUGGAGGACCGAACCGACUAAUGUUGAAAAAUUAGCGGAUGACCUGUGGCUGGGGGUGAAAGGCCAAUCAAACCGGGAGAUAGCUGGUUCUCCCCGAAAGCUAUUUAGGUAGCGCCUCGUGAAUUCAUCUCCGGGGGUAGAGCACUGUUUCGGCUAGGGGGCCAUCCCGGCUUACCAACCCGAUGCAAACUGCGAAUACCGGAGAAUGUUAUCACGGGAGACACACGGCGGGUGCUAACGUCCGUCGUGAAGAGGGAAACAACCCAGACCGCCAGCUAAGGUCCCAAAGUCAUGGUUAAGUGGGAAACGAUGUGGGAAGGCCCAGACAGCCAGGAUGUUGGCUUAGAAGCAGCCAUCAUUUAAAGAAAGCGUAAUAGCUCACUGGUCGAGUCGGCCUGCGCGGAAGAUGUAACGGGGCUAAACCAUGCACCGAAGCUGCGGCAGCGAACGUAUCACCCAAGACAACUUUACGGAGUUGACGAUUGACGGAGCGAAGCGACGUCAAAGCGUUCAUUAAAGUCGAGUUGGCUUAGGGAUACGUUCGUUGGGUAGGGGAGCGUUCUGUAAGCCUGUGAAGGUGUGUCGUGAGGCAUGCUGGAGGUAUCAGAAGUGCGAAUGCUGACAUAAGUAACGAUAAAGCGGGUGAAAAGCCCGCUCGCCGGAAGACCAAGGGUUCCUGUCCAACGUUAAUCGGGGCAGGGUGAGUCGACCCCUAAGGCGAGGCCGAAAGGCGUAGUCGAUGGGAAACGGGUUAAUAUUCCCGUACUUGGUGUUACUGCGAAGGGGGGACGGAGAAGGCUAUGUUGGCCGGGCGACGGUUGUCCCGGUUUAAGCGUGUAGGUGUGUGUUCCAGGUAAAUCCGGUUCACUUUAACACUGAGGCGUGACGACGAGGCACUACGGUGCUGAAGCAACAAAUGCCCUGCUUCCAGGAAAAGCCUCUAAGCAUCAGGUAACACGAAAUCGUACCCCAAACCGACACAGGUGGUCAGGUAGAGAAUACCAAGGCGCUUGAGAGAACUCGGGUGAAGGAACUAGGCAAAAUGGUGCCGUAACUUCGGGAGAAGGCACGCUGACACGUAGGUGAAGUGAUUUACUCAUGGAGCUGAAGUCAGUCGAAGAUACCAGCUGGCUGCAACUGUUUAUUAAAAACACAGCACUGUGCAAACACGAAAGUGGACGUAUACGGUGUGACGCCUGCCCGGUGCCGGAAGGUUAAUUGAUGGGGUCAGCGUAAGCGAAGCUCCUGAUCGAAGCCCCGGUAAACGGCGGCCGUAACUAUAACGGUCCUAAGGUAGCGAAAUUCCUUGUCGGGUAAGUUCCGACCUGCACGAAUGGCGUAAUGAUGGCCAGGCUGUCUCCACCCGAGACUCAGUGAAAUUGAACUCGCUGUGAAGAUGCAGUGUACCCGCGGCAAGACGGAAAGACCCCGUGAACCUUUACUAUAGCUUGACACUGAACAUUGAGCCUUGAUGUGUAGGAUAGGUGGGAGGCUUUGAAGUGUGGACGCCAGUCUGCAUGGAGCCGACCUUGAAAUACCACCCUUUAAUGUUUGAUGUUCUAACGUGGACCCGUAAUCCGGGUUGCGGACAGUGUCUGGUGGGUAGUUUGACUGGGGCGGUCUCCUCCUAAAGAGUAACGGAGGAGCACGAAGGUUGGCUAAUCCUGGUCGGACAUCAGGAGGUUAGUGCAAUGGCAUAAGCCAGCUUGACUGCGAGCGUGACGGCGCGAGCAGGUGCGAAAGCAGGUCAUAGUGAUCCGGUGGUUCUGAAUGGAAGGGCCAUCGCUCAACGGAUAAAAGGUACUCCGGGGAUAACAGGCUGAUACCGCCCAAGAGUUCAUAUCGACGGCGGUGUUUGGCACCUCGAUGUCGGCUCAUCACAUCCUGGGGCUGAAGUAGGUCCCAAGGGUAUGGCUGUUCGCCAUUUAAAGUGGUACGCGAGCUGGGUUUAGAACGUCGUGAGACAGUUCGGUCCCUAUCUGCCGUGGGCGCUGGAGAACUGAGGGGGGCUGCUCCUAGUACGAGAGGACCGGAGUGGACGCAUCACUGGUGUUCGGGUUGUCAUGCCAAUGGCACUGCCCGGUAGCUAAAUGCGGAAGAGAUAAGUGCUGAAAGCAUCUAAGCACGAAACUUGCCCCGAGAUGAGUUCUCCCUGAGACUUAGAGUCUCCUGAAGGAACGUUGAAGACGACGACGUUGAUAGGCCGGGUGUGUAAGCGCAGCGAUGCGUUGAGCUAACCGGUACUAAUGAACCGUGAGGCUUAACCUUACAACGCCGAAG